This 26-nucleotide non-coding RNA is filed under the name Homo sapiens (human). Lineage: Eukaryota; Metazoa; Chordata; Mammalia; Primates; Hominidae. The record is from RNAcentral.
UGUGAUGUUUUGUGCUACUUUCUCAG